GUACACGGUGGAUGCCCUGGCAGUCAGAGGCGAUGAAGGACGUGCUAAUCUGCGAUAAGCGUCGGUAAGGUGAUAUGAACCGUUAUAACCGGCGAUUUCCGAAUGGGGAAACCCAGUGUGAUUCGUCACACUAUCAUUAACUGAAUCCAUAGGUUAAUGAGGCGAACCGGGGGAACUGAAACAUCUAAGUACCCCGAGGAAAAGAAAUCAACCGAGAUUCCCCCAGUAGCGGCGAGCGAACGGGGAGGAGCCCAGAGCCUGAAUCAGUGUGUGUGUUAGUGGAAGCGUCUGGAAAGGCGCGCGAUACAGGGUGACAGCCCCGUACACAAAAAUACACAUAUUGUGAGCUCGAUGAGUAGGGCGGGACACGUGGUAUCCUGUCUGAAUAUGGGGGGACCAUCCUCCAAGGCUAAAUACUCCUGACUGACCGAUAGUGAACCAGUACCGUGAGGGAAAGGCGAAAAGAACCCCGGCGAGGGGAGUGAAAAAGAACCUGAAACCGUGUACGUACAAGCAGUGGGAGCACGCUUAGGCGUGUGACUGCGUACCUUUUGUAUAAUGGGUCAGCGACUUAUAUUCUGUAGCAAGGUUAACCGAAUAGGGGAGCCGAAGGGAAACCGAGUCUUAACUGGGCGUUAAGUUGCAGGGUAUAGACCCGAAACCCGGUGAUCUAGCCAUGGGCAGGUUGAAGGUUGGGUAACACUAACUGGAGGACCGAACCGACUAAUGUUGAAAAAUUAGCGGAUGACUUGUGGCUGGGGGUGAAAGGCCAAUCAAACCGGGAGAUAGCUGGUUCUCCCCGAAAGCUAUUUAGGUAGCGCCUCGUGAAUUCAUCUCCGGGGGUAGAGCACUGUUUCGGCAAGGGGGUCAUCCCGACUUACCAACCCGAUGCAAACUGCGAAUACCGGAGAAUGUUAUCACGGGAGACACACGGCGGGUGCUAACGUCCGUCGUGAAGAGGGAAACAACCCAGACCGCCAGCUAAGGUCCCAAAGUCAUGGUUAAGUGGGAAACGAUGUGGGAAGGCCCAGACAGCCAGGAUGUUGGCUUAGAAGCAGCCAUCAUUUAAAGAAAGCGUAAUAGCUCACUGGUCGAGUCGGCCUGCGCGGAAGAUGUAACGGGGCUAAACCAUGCACCGAAGCUGCGGCAGCGACGCUUAUGCGUUGUUGGGUAGGGGAGCGUUCUGUAAGCCUGCGAAGGUGUGCUGUGAGGCAUGCUGGAGGUAUCAGAAGUGCGAAUGCUGACAUAAGUAACGAUAAAGCGGGUGAAAAGCCCGCUCGCCGGAAGACCAAGGGUUCCUGUCCAACGUUAAUCGGGGCAGGGUGAGUCGACCCCUAAGGCGAGGCCGAAAGGCGUAGUCGAUGGGAAACAGGUUAAUAUUCCUGUACUUGGUGUUACUGCGAAGGGGGGACGGAGAAGGCUAUGUUGGCCGGGCGACGGUUGUCCCGGUUUAAGCGUGUAGGCUGGUUUUCCAGGCAAAUCCGGAAAAUCAAGGCUGAGGCGUGAUGACGAGGCACUACGGUGCUGAAGCAACAAAUGCCCUGCUUCCAGGAAAAGCCUCUAAGCAUCAGGUAACAUCAAAUCGUACCCCAAACCGACACAGGUGGUCAGGUAGAGAAUACCAAGGCGCUUGAGAGAACUCGGGUGAAGGAACUAGGCAAAAUGGUGCCGUAACUUCGGGAGAAGGCACGCUGAUAUGUAGGUGAAGUCCCUUGCGGAUGGAGCUGAAAUCAGUCGAAGAUACCAGCUGGCUGCAACUGUUUAUUAAAAACACAGCACUGUGCAAACACGAAAGUGGACGUAUACGGUGUGACGCCUGCCCGGUGCCGGAAGGUUAAUUGAUGGGGUCAGCGCAAGCGAAGCUCUUGAUCGAAGCCCCGGUAAACGGCGGCCGUAACUAUAACGGUCCUAAGGUAGCGAAAUUCCUUGUCGGGUAAGUUCCGACCUGCACGAAUGGCGUAAUGAUGGCCAGGCUGUCUCCACCCGAGACUCAGUGAAAUUGAACUCGCUGUGAAGAUGCAGUGUACCCGCGGCAAGACGGAAAGACCCCGUGAACCUUUACUAUAGCUUGACACUGAACAUUGAGCCUUGAUGUGUAGGAUAGGUGGGAGGCUUUGAAGUGUGGACGCCAGUCUGCAUGGAGCCGGCCUUGAAAUACCACCCUUUAAUGUUUGAUGUUCUAACGUGGACCCGUGAUCCGGGUUGCGGACAGUGUCUGGUGGGUAGUUUGACUGGGGCGGUCUCCUCCUAAAGAGUAACGGAGGAGCACGAAGGUUGGCUAAUCCUGGUCGGACAUCAGGAGGUUAGUGCAAUGGCAUAAGCCAGCUUGACUGCGAGCGUGACGGCGCGAGCAGGUGCGAAAGCAGGUCAUAGUGAUCCGGUGGUUCUGAAUGGAAGGGCCAUCGCUCAACGGAUAAAAGGUACUCCGGGGAUAACAGGCUGAUACCGCCCAAGAGUUCAUAUCGACGGCGGUGUUUGGCACCUCGAUGUCGGCUCAUCACAUCCUGGGGCUGAAGUAGGUCCCAAGGGUAUGGCUGUUCGCCAUUUAAAGUGGUACGCGAGCUGGGUUUAGAACGUCGUGAGACAGUUCGGUCCCUAUCUGCCGUGGGCGCUGGAGAACUGAGGGGGGCUGCUCCUAGUACGAGAGGACCGGAGUGGACGCAUCACUGGUGUUCGGGUUGUCAUGCCAAUGGCACUGCCCGGUAGCUAAAUGCGGAAGAGAUAAGUGCUGAAAGCAUCUAAGCACGAAACUUGCCCCGAGAUGAGUUCUCCCUGACCCUUUAAGGGUCCUGAAGGAACGUUGAAGACGACGACGUUGAUAGGCCGGGUGUGUAAGCGCAGCGAUGCGUUGAGCUAACCGGUACUAAUGAACCGUGAGGCUUAACCUU
This 2888-nucleotide ribosomal RNA is filed under the name Shigella sonnei. RNAcentral describes it as "bacterial LSU rRNA". It matches the Rfam family "Bacterial large subunit ribosomal RNA". Lineage: Bacteria; Pseudomonadati; Pseudomonadota; Gammaproteobacteria; Enterobacterales; Enterobacteriaceae. The record is from RNAcentral.